This 551-nucleotide unclassified non-coding RNA is filed under the name Hevea brasiliensis (rubber tree). Lineage: Eukaryota; Viridiplantae; Streptophyta; Magnoliopsida; Malpighiales; Euphorbiaceae. The record is from RNAcentral.
AUUUAUAUUUUAAAUUCAUAAUUGAUCGAGUCUAGGUAAAAAUUUUUAGAUUUUUUCAGUAACACGGGAGACGUUAAUGGAGCAAGUUUGCACAUACUAAAAUACUUAAAGUUAGUGAUCAAAGAAAGCCAUGAGAUAAGAUUAUAUCCUCCUCUUGCAUUGAUUUCAAGUGUGUACCGAGAGAGCUGAACUUAACGGGUAUGAUUUUUAUCCUAAGCCUAGACUACUUAUCAACACAUCGGAGAUUAGAAGAGGUCCUGCUAAUUCAUGGAUUGAUCCUCAAAGAUUUCUUCAUCUGUACUACUUUUGAACUUGUUCCAUUUGGUGGUGGAAAGAGAAUGUGUUCUGGUAAAAUCAUGGCGGUCAGUAAACUAAUUACAAAUUCUUGUGAUGGGCUGAGGACGGAAUGGAAUAGGAAUCAACUUAAGAUCUACUCCUCUUUUGAUUGCACCACCAAAACCUUCACUCAUGUCGAGAUUUUCUGGGGUUAUUCCAUCAGGAAGUUUCCAGUCAAAAUGAUACAGCAGUUGUGCAAGGACAAGCUCUAAAUU